This 1852-nucleotide long non-coding RNA is filed under the name Chinchilla lanigera (long-tailed chinchilla). RNAcentral's name for it is "lncRNA (ENSCLAG00000023034.1)". The record is from RNAcentral. Lineage: Eukaryota; Metazoa; Chordata; Mammalia; Rodentia; Chinchillidae.
CGGGCGGGCGCGGGCAGGGCCGCCCCGGGGGGUGUCGGCGCGGAGCCCCGGUAGUCGAAAGUCGCGUUUUAAGGACUGGCCUGAUAGAUUACUUUCUACUUAAAGAUCCGGCGGGAGGCGGGGCCACGUGACCGCGCGUGACGUCAGGGCCGCCGCGAGCCGGCCAAACUCAAGUUGGUCCGGGAAUUGUCAACAAAGGGGCGAGGGACGCGCCACUCCGCGUCGCCUGCGGGCCCCACGCGCCCUGGCCCGGCACGAGUGGACUGGGCACGGCCAGGAGGGCCCGAGCGCGUCCGCAGGACCCUGCGCCGUCUGCGCCCCGCACCCGUUCCCUCCCGGACGUGGACGGGCCGAGGACAGCCAGGUGCCAUCUCGGGCUCGGGGGGACAAACUUACCAGCCUCUUUUGUUUAUCGUUCCAGCUGCAGAGGACACGGGCGGCGCGAGGGGUCCCCUCGCUACGCCGAGUCCGGCUCUCCCGGGUAACCUGCGACGUGCGCCCUCCCGCCAGCCCCGCGUCCCCACCGGGCCCCGCUGCGUCCCCGCACGGUUUUCUAGAUAUCUGUGUUUUUUGCGCGCGGUCAUCGCAGCAUCACCUGGGAUUCCCGAAGAGCGCAGGGGACCCCAGGACCCAGCUCGGAGACCAGGACGCGCGUCCGGACCCCCUUGGCCAGCAUCAACGACGGUAGGAAGGACCCGGGGCUCCCAGGGGCUGCGGCUAGGGGGGCUUGGGGACCUCGCACCGCCCGGAGUAAGCCACGGCCCGGGCCGCGACCCCGCCGCGCGCCCCCUCCCGCUCGAGGCCGCCUGGUUGCGAGCGCGGCGCGCGUGGCGCGGCGUCUGUGUCACCCACGAGCUCGGGCUUGGGAGGAGGACUGAGUGGAAUGCUCACGGGAGGCCCUGCGAAACCGACCUCAUUCCCGGGGUCGGCGCUGCUUCUGAUUCCCAGCCUCUUCCCACCGAGCACCCUUUCCCGGGCACACCAAAUCAGCAAGAAUUCCAGGUCUGGCCGCCUGCUCCAUGACGCAGAUUGACUUUCUCCAGUUUCCCGGGUGCAACACCAGCCCUCGGGGUUCCUUCCCGCCAGUGGGGGCUGGGGACAGGGUGGGCGCAGGGACUCCGCCCUGAGACUGUCCCUGAACCUCCACUGUUUUUCUGUUUGCAAGUGGUCUCGGGGUCACCCUGACCCCCAAACGCAUCUCUGAGUUAUUUCCGCAGCUGCCUCCCGUGGGCCCGCCGGCUGCAAACCCAUCUAGACUUCCUCGGGCGAAACCCACUGGAGCUUCGAGCCGGCCGCCCAUCGCUCCCGCUGCAGAGGUUUUGGUUGCCACUGGCCAAACACCAAGUCCAAGCAAGGUCGGAGGAAAAAGAAAAACAGCUGAAAUUCGCAAAUUUCAAAACUCUUUUUGUCUAGUUUGGGGUGCCCACCCCGGGGUAGGUGCGGGCCCGCUUGGCCCUGGGCUGCGUCUCCGUGGAUGCUUUCACGUGUGCGCGCGAGGGUGGCGGCUCGGGCAGCCACGCCGCUCACUUUGAAGCCGUCCCCAGACGCACCUCGCCUGGGUCCCCGGAGAGGGGGUGGCGAACACCGCCCAGCUGCCGGUUCCAUUUGUUGCGCUUUUCUCCUUUGACACAAUAAAAGUCAAAUUAAUUGAUUCAUACCAUUAAUUACGGUUCGUAGCGUGAAAAGCAACGCUUCCCCUCGGUGAGAGAUCUAUUGUGCUCGUCUCAUGUUCAAUCAGUGCUGCCAUCUGAUGCCGGGUCGGCCCUGGCAGGAACUUUUCGCCUCGAUUAGCUGAAUGAUGAGUCGCGCAGGGCCCGCUGGCUGCGGCCCCGACGCCCCGCGUCGAUUUCCC